RNAcentral lists this ribosomal RNA (445 nucleotides) under uncultured bacterium. RNAcentral's name for it is "bacterial SSU rRNA". It matches the Rfam family "Bacterial small subunit ribosomal RNA", at positions 354 to 796 of the family's 1533-position model. The record is from RNAcentral.
GUAGGGAAUAUUGGGCAAUGGAGGCAACUCUGACCCAGCCAUGCCGCGUGCAGGAUGACGGCCCUCUGGGUUGUAAACUGCUUUUAUACGGGAAGAAAAAAUACUACGUGUAGUAUACUGACGGUACCGUAAGAAUAAGGAUCGGCUAACUCCGUGCCAGCAGCCGCGGUAAUACGGAGGAUCCAAGCGUUGUCCGGAUUUAUUGGGUUUAAAGGGUGCGUAGGCGGAUCUUUAAGUCAGUGGUGAAAGCCUGCAGCUUAACUGUAGAAUUGCCAUUGAAACUGAAGAUAUUGAAUGUGGUUAAAGUAGGCGGAAUGUAUCAUGUAGCGGUGAAAUGCUUAGAUAUGAUACAGAACACCGAUAGCGAAGGCAGCUUGCUGAACCAUUAUUGACGCUGAGGCACGAAAGCGUGGGGAGCGAACAGGAUUAGAUACCCCGGUAGUCC